UGGGGAAUUUUGGGCAAUGGGCGAAAGCCUGAUCCAGCCAUGCCGCGUGAGUGAAGCAGGCCUUCGGGUUGUAAAGCUCUUUUAGUCGGAAAGAAAGAGUUGCAAUGAAUAAUUGUGAUUUAUGACGGUACCGACAGAAAAAGCACCGGCUAACUACGUGCCAGCAGCCGCGGUAAUACGGAGGGUGCGAGCGCUAAUCGGAAUUACUGGGCGUAAAGGGUGCGCAGGCGGUCUUGCAAGUCAGAUGUGAAAGCCCCGGGCUUAACCUGGGAAUUGCGUUUGAAACUACAAGGCUAGAGUGCAGCAGAGGGGAGUGGAAUUCCAUGUUUAGCAGUGAAAUGCGUAGAGAUGUGGAAGAACACCGAUGGCGAAGGCAGCUCCCGGGGUUGACACUGACGCUCAUGCACGAAAGCGUGGGGAGCAAACA
RNAcentral lists this ribosomal RNA (427 nucleotides) under uncultured bacterium. Its description in RNAcentral is "bacterial SSU rRNA". It matches the Rfam family "Bacterial small subunit ribosomal RNA", at positions 355 to 774 of the family's 1533-position model. The record is from RNAcentral.